AGACCAACCAAACACGCCACCCCUCCCCUGUCAUUUUCAAUUUUCUACCCUUCCCACACAAUCCUUCUUCUUCUCUCUUCAUUUCCUCUUUCUUUUUUUUAUCUCUUCUGCUACCUUUGAUUUCAAAACCCUAUUUUUCUCUCUUCACUUCUUCCUUCUGCAUUUCUUCUUCUCUAAAGAAAUCAAAGAACGAUGAACGGGUACCAAUCGGAAUAGGGGAUACGGCGGCAGAUCUGGCGUUUUCAGCGAUUUUACGGCGGUAGAUCUGGCGUUUUCAGCGAUUUUACGGCGGUGUCUGGUUUCGCGAUGGUGGAUCUGUCCUAAAGCUCCAAAAAUUUUGCACAUAUUUUAUGUAUAUAUUAAUUGGUAUUUUAUAUGUGCAGAUUUUAGGGUUUCUAUCUAUUCGUAUAUUUGCACAUUUUAGGUGUGAAAUUUUGUCAAUCGGAAACACUUGGAAGUGGAAAAUUAAUGGAAGUUUCAUCUUCUUCCCAACCUAUGAAGAAGAGUCGUAGAGGACCAAGGUCAAGAAGUUCAUAGUAUAGAGGAGUUACUUUUUUUUACUGAAGAACAGGUCGAUGGGAAUCUCAUAUGUGGGAUUGUGAAAAACAAGUGUAUCUGGGUUGUUGAAGUGCCUAAUUGUAGCUGGGAAGAUAUCGGUGGUCUCGAAAAUGUUAAGAGGGAACUCUAAGAGACUGUUCAAUAUCCAGUGGAACACCCUGAAAAGUUUGAGAAAUUUGGCACGUCGCCUUCAAAGGGAAUUCUUUUCUAUGGUCCUCCUGGUUGUGGUAAAACACUUUUGGUAAAAGCUAUUGCCAAUGAAUGCCAGGCAAACUUCAUCAGUAUCAAAGGUCCUGAGAUGCUCACAAUGUGGUUUGGAGAAAGUGAGGCAAAUGUGAGGGAAAUUUUUGACAAGGCCCGUGGUUCUGCUCCAUGUGUCCUAUUCUUUGACGAGCUUGACUUCAUUGUAACUCAGAGAGGUAGUAGUGUAUGAGAUGCUGAGGGUGCAGCUAACAGGGUUUUGAACCAGCUGCUAACAGAAAUGGAUGGGAUGUCAGCAAAGAAAACUGUGUUCAUCAUUGGUGCUACUAACCGACCUGACAUUAUAGAUCCAGCUCUUCUGCGUCCAGGGCGUCUAGACCAGUUGAUUUAUAUCCCUCUCACAGAUGAAGAUUCCCGUCGUCAGAUAUUUAAAGCUUGCUUGAGAAAAUCCCCCAUCUCAAAAGAUAUCGAUAUUAGAGCUCUUGCAAAGUACACCCAAAGCUUUAGUGGUGCUGAUAUUACUGAGAUUUGCCAGCGUGCAUGCAAGUAUGCCAUUAGAGAGAAUAUUGAAAAGGGAGCAACUGACCAGAAACUUUCUAAUGGAGAACUCGCCAACAAGAUCGAGAAGAGUAUUGAAAGUGAUAAUGUAAACAGGGAAGAAAAUGUGACUGGAUGUUGCCAGGGUGUUAAUGGGGUUUGUUGUUGCAGUUUUUCAAGUCCUGCACAAAACAACAAGACUAAAGAGAGAAAAAUCAGCUAGAAUUAGCCCUACAUUGAAGGAGAGUGAUGUUCUCACAGUUGUUGGUGUGCUUGAAGAUGUGGCGGCUGUUGUUGUGGCUUACAAACAUUACAGAAGGUCGGGAUGAAUUAAGCUAUAAUAAUGUCUUCUAACAUAAGGAUGGUCCACAUCGGCAGAAGCCGAAAAAGAACAAUGCACUCGAGGCUUCUGAAAGUAUGAGAAGUAAAAAGAUAUCUGCUAGAUGGGAUCCAGUUGAAGCAUGUCGGCCUUUAAUAGACGAAGCACCGUGGCCUUUAAUAGAUGGGAUACAGUCGAAGCAUGUUAACGCGAAUUUCGAUUUGAUGUCAGAAUCACAGUUUGCCCCUUUUUAGUCUCAAAAAGAUCACAAUGCCGCAAUGAUUUUGGCUAACUCGCUAUGAAUCCAAAUAGCAUGUACUGUUUACUUCAGUUUUUCUAUAAAGGUGGGAUACAUAACUUUCCUAACGUGUGCCAGAUUAUCUUCAAACACCAGAGGAGAGCAGUUCGGUCGGAAGUGAGUAUGAAGAUGAUAAAGGCAUGGAGAAAGAUUUUAGUGUGGAUGCAUUUCAUGGUCACCCUAUGAUUCCAGAUGAGGAUAUUUCUUUUGCUAAUUCAGCUUAAAUUCCAAAUGAUAAGGUGGAUUUAACAGAAAGCAGCGGUCAGCUAACGUUGGUUGAAGAUUCUGGACCAGGUGCUACAAAAGAUAUAUCUGACAGGCAUGAAUUGCAGGUUGAUGUUACUAAUGCUGUUUUUGAUAAUGAGAUUAACUUUCUGCUUCUUCUUCUGAAACGAUUGAUUUUUUAAAUGAUCACAAUCAAGUAAAGAUGGUUGCUGGAGCAGUUGACUCACCCUCUCAAACGAAGAUGGUUAAUGUAAAAAGAGGCCUUAUUGAUACCGCACCUCCAUUUGAAUCUGUGAAGGAAGUUGUUUCUAAGUUUGAAGGAAUUAUUGAUUGGAAGGAUCAUAGAAUCCAGACUGUGGAGGUAUAUUUGUCUGCAUUUUUUUUCGUGUGAUCAUCAUUUUCAAUUUACAUUCUUCACAUUUCUUGCAUGAAGUUUAUACAAUAUCUAUUAGAAAAUAGGUAAGAGGCAAAUGUUGUUAUGGGGGAGAAAAAGAAGACCAAUUGUCUUCACUUUAGUAUCAAGUUGGUUAUUAGUGGUAAUUGCUGUAGUUUUUCUACAACUGCAAUACUAAUAGGUUAAGAGGAUUGCUUUGGUGACUGUUUGCAUGUUGGUAUGUUGAUAAUAAUUAUUGUAUAAACUUAUUAUGAGGCAUGCGUGCAUAUAGCAUAAAAGAGACGAAGUCCAUGAAGCACGAAGUCCAUCACCAACUAGAACACACUCGCCAAACGCAAUAAAGCGUUUAAGGAAUCCCAAAACGCCUCAACAAAACUAUUGGACUUAAAAAAAAGAAGCUGAUGAUGUAGCAACAUUCUUCACGCGACAAUCGACGCCUAAUCUCCCAGCUUCGAUGUCUCCAGCUAUGGCAUAAACAUCGCUUGGCUCUCUAUUAUUGCUCACUGCAACAGACACAAGACAUGUAUCAUUUAGUGCCAUUAAUUUAUCGUAGAUGCCAUUAAUUUCACAUUUUUUUUGUGUGGUUUGAUUUCAGUUUUUGUUUUCCGGUGUUGAUUGCUUUUCUGAAAGUGUAGACAUCAAGAUCUUCUAUUAAGGAUCUGUGAUAAUUAUUUGUAAAGUUUUCUUUGGAUAUACUUCAUGAUUUUGAUAAUUGAUUCAUGUAUCUAAUCCGUUUUGCAUAGUUAGGUCUUGAUAUCUAAGUCUUGAUACAAUGGACAUGGACAGAGAACAAUUACAGGAUACCAAAACUAAAAACUCUCCUUGUCUUUAUAUUUUUUUUAUUUGUCACUGUAAAAUAUAUAUGUACAUGUAUCAUUUAGUGUUUAGUACACGUAAUGCAUGUUGGUUUGCAGUCUGAAUUUGGAGAUAUUGGAGAUGAGUGUCUGGAUAUAUUGAGAUAUUGGAGAUGAGUGCUUCUGCGGAGUGAACUACUUAACAUGGUUUAAAGGAGAUGUAGAUAGUCAUCUUUGGGUCGUUGAGUUGUAUAUUUUGUUGCUAUGCUAAGAUUUGAAUAUUUCAAAAUCA
This is a long non-coding RNA of Vicia villosa (hairy vetch), 3618 nucleotides long. RefSeq lists it as uncharacterized. The transcript is spliced from 8 exons. The record is from RefSeq and is a predicted model, not a curated record. Lineage: Eukaryota; Viridiplantae; Streptophyta; Magnoliopsida; Fabales; Fabaceae.